CCCAGUCAUGCUUCCUGUUUUGCCUGCAGAACUGCAUUUAUGAAGUAGGGACCUGGAAUUGAAGAGACUCCUAAAGGAGAGACAGAAGUUUGAAAGAGCAAGAAGAGUGGAUGUGGAUCCAGACAGAAAAAGAGAACAGCAAAUAUUUGAAAGAGCUUAAGACGUACUCCUCAAGGGGUUUCUCCUUUUGCGUCUUUCUCAUUUCUUUUGCUGCCACCGUGUAAGAAGUGCCUUUUGCCUCCUGCCAUGAUUCUGAGGCCUCCCCAGUCAUGUGGAACUGUACCACAGAUAGAAGCCUUGAGAAGCUUACUUUGGUCAGAAAUUUUGCCUUUGUCUGCAGGCUUCUACCAGUUCGAUUCCAUCUGUGGGUCUUAGGUUUCAGUUACCUGAAGUCAAAUGUGGUCCAAUACACAGACUGGAAUAAGAGACAUUGGAGACUCCAAAAGAAUAUUUUCUGGUAGACUGAUAUAUUUCUCCUAAAAAAUUUGGAAAAAUUUUGUGAUGAAGAAGCUACCUGGGCCUGAAGAUAUCUUUUCUGAAGAUGG
Long non-coding RNA from Homo sapiens (human), 545 nucleotides. Ensembl annotates it as DISC1 fusion partner 1. Its record names the gene DISC1FP1. The record is from Ensembl. NCBI's taxonomy places the organism in Eukaryota, Metazoa, Chordata, Mammalia, Primates, Hominidae.